AUAGUCUAUUAAAAAAAAAAAAAAAAAGACAAACUGUACAAGUUAACUGUACAAAGAAAAACUAAAAAAAAAAUAAUCACACUUUAAUAGAGCUGUUUUAAACCAUCAUGAGAUCUGAUGUGGUUAAUGUCAGCGAUGACAGCUUACUGUCCUGGCUUCAGCAGACAGAGUUCAUCUUCUCCACAGUGUUUGGUACAAUGUUACGUUUAGGAGAAAAACAGCGCUGAUAACAUCCCAAUGCUUUAGCUGUUGCUGAGCAGCGCUGCACAGAGCCAAGGAGGUUUCAGCUUUCCAGCUGCUCCUUCUGCCCUGCUAGCCAGGGGGCUGGAGAGCACGAGGUGCUGGGAGGGACAGAAGCAGGAGAGCUGACCUAAAGCAGCCAAAGGGAUAUUUCAUGAAAAACGGCAUCAUGUGAAACCAGAAAACUGAGACUGGAGUGGCAGCCACAGCCACUGCUCCGGGCACCAGACAGCAGGUGUUCUUUCCUCCAACUCCGUGGGAGAAGAGGCAGUGAGCAAAGAGGUCGGAGCUGAGCUGCUGCUGGGUGCCCACACAGCACCAAGCCCCAGCACAGGCCAAACAUCCCGCAGCACCCAACGUGAGCUGUCAGAAAACAGCUCGAGCCAAACAGCAAGGUGCUGUUCACUGAAUACAGCAAAAGCGGGGUGGCUCAGAGCACACCUCCAGCACAGCACCAUGCAGAAGGUGCAGCAGCACAGCCCCUCACAUCUAGCACCUGAAUCCUCGCCAUCCAUGGCACCAAGCACAGCUUUCUAACUAGAAAUCCCAAGCGAGUUUUUAAUCAAAACAGAUCACUGUGAUUUGAAAAAAAUGAUAAGGAUGGUUUAGCUUCAUUUGCUCCUAAAAGCUGAGUGAGGGACUUGAAGAGUCACACAGAGAUGGAACCAACAGCUGUAGCAUUAUACCACAAAUGCACUCUCAAAUUCUACAUCACCAGGUUUUAGAAGAAAACGAGGAAGACCUCUUCACUCACAGCAAAAUAAAAAAUGAAAAAUAAUAAAAAAAAAA
Molecule: long non-coding RNA, 1029 nt
Organism: Tympanuchus pallidicinctus (lesser prairie-chicken)
Lineage: Eukaryota; Metazoa; Chordata; Aves; Galliformes; Phasianidae
Exons: 2
Source: RefSeq, a predicted model, not a curated record